AGCCAAUGUAGCUCAGCCGGUAGAGCAGCUGAUUCGUAAUCAGCAGGUCGGGGGUUCGAUUCCCCCCAUUGGCUU
Molecule: transfer RNA, 75 nt
Filed under: Candidatus Aminicenantes bacterium ADurb.Bin508
Lineage: Bacteria; Candidatus Aminicenantota
Description: tRNA-Thr
Rfam family: tRNA
About the family: Transfer RNA (tRNA) molecules are approximately 80 nucleotides in length. Their secondary structure includes four short double-helical elements and three loops (D, anti-codon, and T loops).
Source: RNAcentral